ACUCGAGUUCAUUUGAUAAUCCCAAAGAGAUUUCAAUUUAUAGACUGUCCCUUAACAUGUGAUCACCUUUGUUGAAGCUCCAUUUUUGUUCAAUCUUUUGUCUUUUGUUUGAUUCAACAAUUAAUUAUCACUAUUGUGUUUCUAUUUAAUUAGUUAUUCAAGCCCUUGAUUGCAUUUUUAUGUUUUCAAAUUGCAUGGUUUGUCCAAUUCAAGUUACCAAUCCAAGUUAAUCUUGAAGAGGAUAAAAUAGGAAAGCCUUUUGAUCCCGAUUGGAUUUUCUGAUGUUAAUCGGACUAUUUUAGGUAUUUAUCUCAAUGGUCUGACAAUUCUUGAUUCAACAGCCGAGGAAAAUUGUCAUUAGAAAGGUGUGGUUACCGAGAUACUAAAAAAAUCUGUUACAUUUCAUCAGAAAGAAGGAUUCAUCAAUUGACUUUUUCUUCUUCCAUAUAACACACAACAACCCAAUGAUUACUCAAGGGGAAACAUUCACACUGAUUGUUGGGGUUGCGAGAUGAGCAAAUCUGCCGAGAUUUGAACAGAGAAUCAAAUCAAGAUUCAUGGUUAUUGUUAAUAUUGAUGAAUGAAUUCAUCUCAUCUUUCCAAGUAUUAUAUCAACUACAAUAUCAACUAUAUUACAUUAUACUUGUUCAGCCCACUUUCCUCUUUUUAUGUACGCCUCAUAAUAAUCAAUAGGCAAUCACAGCAGGUUAUCGUUUCCUAUUUCUGUCAUUUAAGCUGAAAAGAAAGGCAAGAAUAUGAGCAACUGAUGAUAAUUAUGAUGAUAUUAUUUGCUAUAAUGUUGAUAACCGCACGGAUUUGAAGAUACAGUUAAAAUGAAGAUUUGAAACAAAAAGGUUUACACAAAAUGGUAACAAUUUUACAACUUUUAGGUUAUUUAUCUUUAUUUAUUUAUCCCUUUUCAACUUGUAUCCCACUGAGCUGAACAAAAGUGCAGUUUCCUUUGUGAGUUGAAGAUGAACAUAUUGAAAACUAUUGGUAAAUAGCUUGAAUCAACUACUUCUAUGGAAACAUAGCAUUUCGCCUUUGAGCUUUGCCACUAUCCUAAACAAAAUAACUGUACCAUUAACUUGA
This is a long non-coding RNA of Tetranychus urticae (two-spotted spider mite), 1092 nucleotides long. RefSeq lists it as uncharacterized. The record is from RefSeq and is a predicted model, not a curated record. NCBI's taxonomy places the organism in Eukaryota, Metazoa, Arthropoda, Arachnida, Trombidiformes, Tetranychidae.